GACGAACGCUGGCGGCGUGCCUAAUACAUGCAAGUAGAACGCUGAAGGAGGAGCUUGCUUCUCCGGAUGAGUUGCGAACGGGUGAGUAACGCGUAGGUAACCUGCCUGGUAGCGGGGGAUAACUAUUGGAAACGAUAGCUAAUACCGCAUAACAGUAGAUGUUGCAUGACAUUUGCUUAAAAGGUGCAAUUGCAUCACUACCAGAUGGACCUGCGUUGUAUUAGCUAGUUGGUGAGGUAACGGCUCACCAAGGCGACGAUACAUAGCCGACCUGAGAGGGUGAUCGGCCACACUGGGACUGAGACACAGCCCAGACUCCUACGGGAGGCAGCAGUAGGGAAUCUUCGGCAAUGGACGGAAGUCUGACCGAGCAACGCCGCGUGAGUGAAGAAGGUUUUCGGAUCGUAAAGCUCUGUUGUAAGAGAAGAACGAGUGUGAGAGUGGAAAGUUCACACUGUGACGGUAUCUUACCAGAAAGGGACGGCUAACUACGUG
This 495-nucleotide ribosomal RNA is filed under the name uncultured bacterium. RNAcentral describes it as "partial 16S ribosomal RNA". It matches the Rfam family "Bacterial small subunit ribosomal RNA", at positions 28 to 507 of the family's 1533-position model. The record is from RNAcentral.